Limulus polyphemus (Atlantic horseshoe crab) is the source of this 170-nucleotide long non-coding RNA. RefSeq lists it as uncharacterized. The transcript has 3 exons. Lineage: Eukaryota; Metazoa; Arthropoda; Merostomata; Xiphosura; Limulidae. The record is from RefSeq and is a predicted model, not a curated record.
ACCCAAAAAAGUAGGUAUGAGGGAAGCAUAUACUUCUAGUAGGAUACACUUAUUUACCCAAGUAGAUAUGAGGGAAGCAUAUACUUCUAGUAGGAUACACUUAUUUACCCAAGUAGGUAUGAGGGAAGCAUAUUAUUUACCCAAGUAGAUAUGAGGGAAGCAUAUACUUC